UGGGAGGACAACAAACGCGGGUCUGGCGGAGAGCGGCGGCGCUCGGAGACCGCGAGGCGACCGGGAGCGGCUGGGCCCCCGGCGGCGCGCCCCUCGGCCGGGCCGGGAGCCGCGUCAGUCGGUGCCCCCAGCCGAACGCGGUUCGCCUCCCUCCGAGCGAUCAGCUGUCCGGAGUGUGACCAGAGGGCAUGCGGGAUCCACCAGAGGUGCCGCCGCCUGCUCUCGCAGGCCGCGGAUGAAGAAGAAAGCGCGGCCUCGCUCGGCCGGGAGCGAAGAGGUGACCCGGAACGAAGAGGUGUCCCGGAGCGAAGAGGUGGUCCGAAGCGAAGAGGCGGCCCUGAGUGAAGAGGUGGCCCGGAGCGAGGAAAUG
This 370-nucleotide non-coding RNA is filed under the name Sus scrofa (pig). RNAcentral's name for it is "Bag-1 internal ribosome entry site (IRES)". It matches the Rfam family "Bag-1 internal ribosome entry site (IRES)". Rfam says of the family: This family represents the bag-1 internal ribosome entry site (IRES). When expressed the BAG-1 protein is known to enhance the anti-apoptotic properties of Bcl-2. Although bag-1 translation usually occurs via a cap-dependent mechanism it has been found to contain a IRES in its 5' UTR. The record is from Rfam by way of RNAcentral. Lineage: Eukaryota; Metazoa; Chordata; Mammalia; Artiodactyla; Suidae.